UUUAACUAAAACAAAGCAUCGCGAAAGGCCCGCGGCGGGUGUUGACGCGAUGUGAUUUCUGCCCCAGUGCUCUGAAUGUCAAAGUGAAGAAAU
Molecule: microRNA precursor, 93 nt
Filed under: Erinaceus europaeus (western European hedgehog)
Lineage: Eukaryota; Metazoa; Chordata; Mammalia; Eulipotyphla; Erinaceidae
Description: miRNA (ENSEEUG00000023162.1)
Rfam family: Eukaryotic large subunit ribosomal RNA
Source: RNAcentral